Molecule: long non-coding RNA, 302 nt
Filed under: Medicago truncatula (barrel medic)
Lineage: Eukaryota; Viridiplantae; Streptophyta; Magnoliopsida; Fabales; Fabaceae
Description: long non-coding RNA (MTRU_LNC005249)
Source: RNAcentral
AAAAAUCAGAAGAAGAAAAAUAAAAUAAAAAACUUCAAAUCUCAUUCUUCAUCUUAUCAUUCCAAAUCCAAUCCAAAAGAGAAAAAAAAUUAACAACAACUCUAAUCCUCCACUCUCAAUUUCAUCAUCAUCAACCUUAUCACCACCACCAACAAACAACAUAAACAGAUCCCAUCAUCACUCUCUAAUCUCUCCUUAUUCCUUUUCUCUCAUGAAUUUCUUCAAAUCCGUUUUCUCCGACGAUUCAGAUCCAUAAUCGAAAUCUACCGUCGCGAUUCCGAUAAUAGCAGUGCCACUUCGAA